UAAGGCUAUUCAGAAGUAAAAAAAACAGCUGAAACAAGUAUUCAAAGAAAACAGAAAGAUUGUUCGCAAUAACAACUUCCAACUAAACCACGACUGAAUUCUAAUGUUUCAAAUACUAACCUUUGGAUUAUAGCAAAGAUUUUUUUUACCCUGUGGAUAAAAAAGUAACAAAAAAAUUUCUAGACUUUAAUAUCCAAAUUUCAUAUUUUCCGUGUCCAGAACCAAAGUCAUAUUGCUUAACAGCAUUCAAAAUGUUUAUUGAUUUCAGAUUUUUAAAUAGAUUGAAAUAAUGUUGUUAUUAUUGUUUAUUGUAUCUGUCAUACUCUGUGUUCUAGGUGCAGGUCUGUUUUUUCUCUCCAUCCUUUGCAGGGCUGGACGGGCAGGUGCGUUCCAUCAGAGCUAAUUACCACCCUUCAUAAGUAGCUGGAACCAGGUGGAGGGCGUCAGUUCAUUUACGCUUCAGCGUGAAAGCCAUCCAGUCAAAGACCUGGAAACCCACGCCUUUGAUCAGAGUCAGAAGAACUCCUGGAAAACCAGAGAAGAACCCCAGAUCUUUCUGUCAGCCCUCCUGCCUGCGCUUGCCUGCCUGUCCACCCUCCAACAAACCAACACAGCGAGAGGAUCUGGAUCUGCACAAACAACCCAGACUUCUGAACAGCACUUCUUUCCCCAGACUAAGCCCAAGCCAUCACCUCAUUUUGCAUUUGGCUAGCGUCACUGUCACUACUGUGAGCAUGAGGUGCUACCAGGACCCU
Molecule: long non-coding RNA, 755 nt
Organism: Cyprinodon variegatus (sheepshead minnow)
Lineage: Eukaryota; Metazoa; Chordata; Actinopteri; Cyprinodontiformes; Cyprinodontidae
Exons: 3
Source: RefSeq, a predicted model, not a curated record